Molecule: ribosomal RNA, 483 nt
Filed under: uncultured bacterium
Lineage: Bacteria
Description: partial 16S ribosomal RNA
Rfam family: Bacterial small subunit ribosomal RNA
Source: RNAcentral
AUUGAACGCUGGCGGCAUGCUUUACACAUGCCAGUCGAACGGCAGCACGGGCUUCGGCCUGGUGGCGAGUGGCGAACGGGUGAGUAAUAUAUCGGAACGUACCCAGAAGUGGGGGAUAACGUAGCGAAAGUUACGCUAAUACCGCAUACGAUCUAUGGAUGAAAGCAGGGGACCGCAAGGCCUUGUGCUCCUGGAGCGGCCGAUAUCUGAUUAGCUAGUUGGUGAGGUAAAGGCUCACCAAGGCGACGAUCAGUAGCUGGUCUGAGAGGACGACCAGCCACACUGGAACUGAGACACGGUCCAGACUCCUACGGGAGGCAGCAGUGGGGAAUUUUGGACAAUGGGCGCAAGCCUGAUCCAACAAUGCCGCGUGAGUGAAGAAGGCCUUCGGGUUGUAAAGCUCUUUUGUCAGGGAAGAAACGGUAGAGGCUAAGAUCCUUUGCUAAUGACGGUACCUGAAGAAUAAGCACCGGCUAACUACGU